Long non-coding RNA from Solea senegalensis (Senegalese sole), 184 nucleotides. RefSeq lists it as uncharacterized. The record is from RefSeq and is a predicted model, not a curated record. The transcript is spliced from 3 exons. Lineage: Eukaryota; Metazoa; Chordata; Actinopteri; Pleuronectiformes; Soleidae.
AUCACAACAACACAGAAGGAAACAGCAUGGUGGCGGUAAACAGUAGAACAGGGAAGUACUGCUGUUCCAAUUGAAGAGAUCAUACAUGUACUCUCGUACUUGGCGAGUAUGUACUCCAGUCGUACUUCCCAAGUGACUCAGUUUUGGGAGCACACAUUUCAGUGUAGAUUUGCACCACCUCCAG